UGAGCAACCUGCCCUUCUCAUCGGAAUAAGCGUUGGAAACGACGUCUAAUGCCGAAUACGACCUCCUUUCGCAUGAUCGGAGGUGGAAAGCUCCGGCGGAGAAGGAUGAGCUCGCGGCCUAUCAGCUAGUUGGUGUGGGUAAUGGCCCACCAAGGCGACGACGGGUAGCCGGCCUGAGAGGGUGACCCGGCCACACUGGGACUGAGACACGGCCCAGACCUCCGUACGGGAGGCAGCG
Molecule: ribosomal RNA, 238 nt
Filed under: uncultured bacterium
Lineage: Bacteria
Description: partial 16S ribosomal RNA
Rfam family: Bacterial small subunit ribosomal RNA
Source: RNAcentral